AAGGGCACCACAAGAACGCGUGGAGCAUGUGGCUUAAUUUGACUCAACGCGGGAAAUCUUACCGGGUCCGGACACACUGAGGAUUGACAGACAAAUACACACACUUUUACGGUGUGCAUGAAAUAUGCUAGUUCUUUCAUGAUUAUGUGAUAGGUGGUGCAUGGCCGUUCUUAGUUCGUGGAGUGAUCUGUCUGCUUAAUUGCGUUUCACUAAAGGCACAUUACACAUAAUAUUGCUGUGUUGUGUGUAUAAUUUAUAAUUAUACGCAUACACACAUAUUAUAUUGUGCUUUGAAAGCAACGAACGUGACCGCAACCUCUUGUUGCCUGUAUAUAUGUGUAUUUUAUACACACCACAGGCUAUUAUAACUAGAGGGACCGCUGUUACUUUCUUUUAAACCAGAGGAAGGUUGCGGCAAUAACAGGUCUGUGAUGCCCUUAGAUGUUCCGGGCUGCACACGUGCUACAAUGAUCAUUGCAGUGCGCAUCUCAUUUUGUUAUACACUGCUUGUGCGUAUGUGCACCAUAUAUUUAUAUGUGUGUGUAUGUAUUGCACGCAGUAAAGCCUACUUCGAAAGUUGUGGGUAAUCAAUUUGAAGUAAUGAUUUCUCCAAAUAUAUACUGCACACUCAUAUACAG
Molecule: ribosomal RNA, 638 nt
Filed under: Haynesina sp. S16
Lineage: Eukaryota; Foraminifera; Rotaliida; Nonionidae
Description: SSU rRNA
Rfam family: Eukaryotic small subunit ribosomal RNA
Source: RNAcentral